Molecule: ribosomal RNA, 535 nt
Filed under: uncultured bacterium
Lineage: Bacteria
Description: bacterial SSU rRNA
Rfam family: Bacterial small subunit ribosomal RNA
Source: RNAcentral
UGGGGAAUCUUGCACAAUGGACGAAAGUCUGAUGCAGCAACGCCGCGUGGGGGAUGAAGCUUCUCGGAGUGUAAACCCCUUUCGACCCGGAAGAAUGCCCGCAAGGGUUUGACGGUACGGGUAUAAGAAGCCCCGGCUAACUACGUGCCAGCAGCCGCGGUAAUACGUAGGGGGCCAGCGUUGCUCGGAAUUACUGGGCGUAAAGGGUCCGUAGGCGGUGUGGUAAGUCGGGAGUGAAAUCUCUGGGCUUAACCCAGAGGCUGCUUCCGAAACUGCCGUGCUAGAGUGUGAGAGAGGCGAGUGGAAUUACGGGUGUAGCGGUGAAAUGCGUAGAUAUCCGUAGGAACAUCCGAGGCGAAGGCGGCUCGCUGGAUCACAACUGACGCUGAGGGACGAAAGCUAGGGGAGCAAACAGGAUUAGAUACCCUGGUAGUCCUAGCCCUAAACCAUCAGGACUUGGGGUUUGCCCUGUACGGGGCAAGUCCCGUAGCUAACGCGUUAAGUCCUGCGCCUGGGGAGUACGGUCGCAAGACUG